GGGCGAAUAGCUCAGCCGGCCAGAGCGCCUGCUUCACACGCAGGAGGUCGCUGGUUCAAGUCCAGCUUCGCCCACCA
This 77-nucleotide transfer RNA is filed under the name Acidobacteriota bacterium. RNAcentral's name for it is "tRNA-Val". It matches the Rfam family "tRNA". Rfam says of the family: Transfer RNA (tRNA) molecules are approximately 80 nucleotides in length. Their secondary structure includes four short double-helical elements and three loops (D, anti-codon, and T loops). The record is from RNAcentral. RNAcentral also lists the same sequence under 2 other names. Lineage: Bacteria; Pseudomonadati; Acidobacteriota.